GUUUAUUAAUUGGUUGACUUUCUCAGAAAAUCAAGUGGGCUUGACUGAUUCUCAUUGUUGUAAUCGUUAGCUCCAACUGAUGAUAAGAAACUAUAAAUUCUGGGUUUUGGGUCUAAAGUUGCUCACACUAGCUCAUACGCACCUUCAAAAAAAACAAUUAUAAUGGCAAUGGAAAUCUACAGUAAUUCCGCGUCUUGGGCUUUCUUUUGUUUCGCUGUAGCGAUCCUAUCUGCUAUUCUCUUGACACACAAGAGGGGUCAUAACAAGAACAAGAAGAAACUGCCGCCUGGUGAAAUGGGACUUCCUUGGAUUGGCGAAACAAUGGAGUUCUUCAAAGCCCAACGCAAGAACCGAAUGUUCGAGGAGUUUGUUCAACCUCGAAUGGCAAAAUAUGGGAAGAUAUUCAAAACAAGGCUGAUGGGUUCUCCAACAAUUAUAGUCAAUGGAGCUGAAGCCAACAGGUUUUUCUUGUCGAAUGAGUUCAAGUUGGUGAUAAGCUCAUGGCCUACGACCUCUGUUCAGCUCAUGGGCAGCAACUCUAUCAUGGAAAAGCAAGGAGACCAGCACCGUUGCCUCCGUGGACUAAUAGGCAAUACUCUUAGCUCUGCAGGGCUUGAGGUUUUAGUAUCAAAAAUAUGCAAGUCAGUUGAGCUGCACCUAGAGAAAUAUUGGAAUAAUAGCAUAGAUGGAAUCAGCCUUUACCAUUCUACCAAAGUGUUGACAUUUACUAUAGUUUUCGAGUGCUUGUUAGGGAUCAAAGUUGAGUCUGGAACUUUUAGUACUUUUGAGAGAAUUUUGGAUGGGGUGUUUGCACCACCGCUUGCAUUUCCUGGGUCUAGGUUUAGUAAAGCGAAGAAGGCAAGGAAGGAAGUGGAAAAGAUGUUGGUAAAGAUAGUGAGGGAGAAGAAGAAGAAGAUGGAAGAAGGAAGGGAAGGAGAGGAGGAGGAAGGAACUUUGCUUUCU
This 963-nucleotide unclassified non-coding RNA is filed under the name Hevea brasiliensis (rubber tree). Lineage: Eukaryota; Viridiplantae; Streptophyta; Magnoliopsida; Malpighiales; Euphorbiaceae. The record is from RNAcentral.